ACAGCGGCAAACAAGUCCCAGAAGGGCAGCCACAAGGAUCGACGAGAGAUGGUUCAAUAUGAUGACGACUUUUUACAGUAAACCGUUUUCACGCAAUUCUUUUUCGGCAAUAAAAUCAUUAUAAAAACUCAGAACCAAGCAAUAUAUUAAACGACAAGCAUUGUACAAAAAGUCUGCCAAUUAUUCACUAAAAACAUAUUGAAAUUUAAAAAUCACUGCUGCAGCAUAAAGCUUGUUUUGUAUAAGCGUUUACAAAGGA
This is a long non-coding RNA of Rhagoletis zephyria (snowberry fruit fly), 259 nucleotides long. RefSeq lists it as uncharacterized. The record is from RefSeq and is a predicted model, not a curated record. NCBI's taxonomy places the organism in Eukaryota, Metazoa, Arthropoda, Insecta, Diptera, Tephritidae.